Molecule: long non-coding RNA, 802 nt
Organism: Gymnodraco acuticeps
Lineage: Eukaryota; Metazoa; Chordata; Actinopteri; Perciformes; Bathydraconidae
Exons: 3
Source: RefSeq, a predicted model, not a curated record
AGUCUUUACACUGAUUCCUCACCAACACUAAGAAAGAGGAUCAGUCCAGUUCUGAAGUCUUUACACUGGUUCCUCACUAACACUAAGAAAGUGGAUCAGUACAGUUCUGAAGUCUUUACACUGGUUCCUCACUAACACUAAGAAAGUGGAUCAGUACAGUUCUGAAGUCUUUACACUGGUUCCUCACUAACACUAAGAAAGAGGAUCACAUCACUGGAAGGAGGAGGAGGGAAAAGACACGCCGCAAGUCUGUCGACAGCCGGGAUCAUCAGCCGACCCCGAGAAAGACCCGGGACGCAGAAUUCGUGGCCGGGCCGGUGCUUAUAUGUCCAACCUCCCUCAUCCUCGGCACGAUUGACGGAAUCCAACCGGACCAGUGACCACAGAUAACGGGUAAGAUAAAAAGUUGAUAUACAUGGUUUCUCCGCCAUUUAAGGAGGUUGAGAAAGGUUUCUCCGCCGUUAAGGAGGUUGAUAAAACGUUGAUAGAGAGAAAGGUUUCUCCGCCGUUAAGGAGGUUGAUAAAACGUUGAUUGAGAAAGGUUUCUCCGCCGUUAAGGAGGUUGAUAAAACGUUGAUAGAGAAAGGCUACUCCGCCGUUAAGGAGGUUGAUAAAACGUUGAUAGAGAAAGGCUACUCCGCCUAGGAGGAGGAUCGACGUGCCUUUGGGUACACUUAUGAGUGAUUGAGUGAAAGCAGUGUGUAAAAGUGUCACCAAGUGGAAUCAGCGCACAGAGUGGAAACCUAACGGUGAUAACAAAAACUCUGUGGUCUGUUGAAGUACACUAGUGGUGAAUUAGGAA